UUCUUAUCAAGAGUGACCGAGGGAUAGGCCCUUUGACGUCACAGCAACCUUCCUGCGGGAGUGGUGCUAAAUCCGCCAGAAUGUAUUUAUUCUGGGAGAUAAGAG
This 105-nucleotide non-coding RNA is filed under the name Halobacillus karajensis. Its description in RNAcentral is "SAM-I sequence". It matches the Rfam family "SAM riboswitch aptamer (S box leader)". From Rfam's summary of the family: The SAM riboswitch is found upstream of a number of genes which code for proteins involved in methionine or cysteine biosynthesis in Gram-positive bacteria. The record is from Rfam by way of RNAcentral. Lineage: Bacteria; Bacillati; Bacillota; Bacilli; Caryophanales; Bacillaceae.